UAGGGAAUUUUGCGCAAUGGACGAAAGUCUGACGCAGCAACGCCGCGUGAGGGAUGAAGGUCUUCGGAUUGUAAACCUCUGUUGAAUGGGAAAAAAAGGUAGCAAUACUUUGAUGGUACCAUUUGAGGAAGCACCGGCUAACUACGUGCCAGCAGCCGCGGUAAUACGUAGGGUGCAAGCGUUGUUCGGAAUCACUGGGCGUAAAGGGAGCGUAGGCGGGAUCGUAAGUUAGGAGUUUAAUACAUGGGCUUAACCCGUGGCUGGCUUUUAAUACUGCGGUUCUUGAGUAUGGGAGAGGGCGAUGGAAUUCCAGGUGUAGCGGUGGAAUGCGUAGAUAUCUGGAAGAACACCAGUAGCGAAGGCGGUCGCCUGGCCCAAUACUGACGCUGAGGCUCGAAAGCUAGGGGAGCAAACAGG
Molecule: ribosomal RNA, 417 nt
Filed under: uncultured prokaryote
Also listed under: 1 other name
Description: bacterial SSU rRNA
Rfam family: Bacterial small subunit ribosomal RNA
Source: RNAcentral